Molecule: ribosomal RNA, 253 nt
Filed under: uncultured bacterium
Lineage: Bacteria
Description: partial 16S ribosomal RNA
Rfam family: Bacterial small subunit ribosomal RNA
Source: RNAcentral
UACGUAGGGGGCAAGCGUUGUCCGGAUUUAUUGGGCGUAAAGAGCGUGUAGGCGGCUUGGUAGGUCCGCUGUGAAAACUCGAGGCUCAACCUCGAGAUGUCGGCGGAAACCACUUGGCUAGAGUCCGGAAGAGGAGAGUGGAAUUCCUGGUGUAGCGGUGAAAUGCGCAGAUAUCAGGAAGAACACCCGUGGCGAAGGCGGCUCGCUGGGACGGUACUGACGCUAAGGCGCGAAAGCGUAGGGAGCGAACAGG